UGCAAGUCGACGCUUUGAUUUUCACCGGAGCUUGGCUCCACCGAAAAUCAAAGAGUGGGCGGACGGGUGAGUAACACGUGGGCAACCUGGCCCAACAGAAGGGGGAUAACACUUGGAAACAGGUGCUAAUACCGCAUAAUUUGUUUUCCCGCAUGGGAGAAUAAUAAAAGACGCUUCGGUGUCACUGUUGGAUGGGCCCGCGCUGCAUUAGUUAGUUGGUGGGGUAAUGGCCUACCAAGACCGUGAUGCAUAGCCGACCUGAGAGGGUGAUCGGCCACACUGGGGACUGAGACACGGCCCAGACUCCUACGGGAGGCAGCAGUAGGGAAUCUUCGGCAAUGGGACGAAAGUCUGACCGAGCCAACGCCGCGUGAGUGAAGAAGGUUUUCGGAACGUAAAACUCUGGUUGUUAGAGAAAGAUACAAGU
This 427-nucleotide ribosomal RNA is filed under the name Vagococcus fluvialis. Its description in RNAcentral is "bacterial SSU rRNA". It matches the Rfam family "Bacterial small subunit ribosomal RNA", at positions 56 to 457 of the family's 1533-position model. Lineage: Bacteria; Bacillati; Bacillota; Bacilli; Lactobacillales; Enterococcaceae. The record is from RNAcentral.